Molecule: non-coding RNA, 102 nt
Filed under: Clostridiaceae bacterium BL-3
Lineage: Bacteria; Bacillati; Bacillota; Clostridia; Eubacteriales; Clostridiaceae
Description: SAM
Rfam family: SAM riboswitch aptamer (S box leader)
About the family: The SAM riboswitch is found upstream of a number of genes which code for proteins involved in methionine or cysteine biosynthesis in Gram-positive bacteria.
Source: RNAcentral
UCCUUAUCAAGAGAAACUGAGGGACUGGCCCUUUGAAGUUUCAGCAACCACAUUUGUGUGAUGGUGCUAAAUCCAGCAGAACGUUGUUCUGAAAGAUGAGGA